CAAUUUUAUAACGGCAAUUGUUGAACGACCAUUAUUAUUCAUUAUUAUCUUAUAUUUAGCGGCAAUUAUUUUAAACUAUAUUUUUUAUCGACUAAUAAUUUUAUAUUAAAUAUAUUUAUUUCGAAUUCUAACAUAAUUAACCCCUAACCCUAAACCUAACCCCUAACCCUAACCAAACCCGCUCCAUUCCACCACACCCCUACCCAGCGAAUGCCUCAACCUUGCGAGGAUCCCACCCUCAACCCCUUCUCUCCUCACGAUCCCUCCCCUCUCCUACCCCCUCUGAGCUAGAGCUCUCCCUUUCUCCUUCACCUCUGCUCAUUCCCCUCUCCCUCUCUCCUUCACCUCUACUCAUUCCCCUCUCCCUUGUCCUCUGAAUCUUCUCCAAGCUUCGAUCCCAUCCCCAAAUCACCCUCGU
Molecule: long non-coding RNA, 418 nt
Filed under: Ananas comosus (pineapple)
Lineage: Eukaryota; Viridiplantae; Streptophyta; Magnoliopsida; Poales; Bromeliaceae
Description: long non-coding RNA (ACOM_LNC041455)
Source: RNAcentral